This 586-nucleotide ribosomal RNA is filed under the name uncultured bacterium. RNAcentral's name for it is "bacterial SSU rRNA". It matches the Rfam family "Bacterial small subunit ribosomal RNA", at positions 338 to 916 of the family's 1533-position model. The record is from RNAcentral.
CCUACGGGAGGCAGCAGUGGGGAAUUUUGGACAAUGGGCGCAAGCCUGAUCCAGCAAUGCCGCGUGCAGGAUGAAGGCCUUCGGGUUGUAAACUGCUUUUGUACGGAACGAAACGGUGAGCUCUAAUAAAGUUUGCUAAUGACGGUACCGUAAGAAUAAGCACCGGCUAACUACGUGCCAGCAGCCGCGGUAAUACGUAGGGUGCGAGCGUUAAUCGGAAUUACUGGGCGUAAAGCGUGCGCAGGCGGUUAUAUAAGACAGAUGUGAAAUCCCCGGGCUCAACCUGGGACCUGCAUUUGUGACUGUAUAGCUAGAGUACGGUAGAGGGGGAUGGAAUUCCGCGUGUAGCAGUGAAAUGCGUAGAUAUGCGGAGGAACACCGAUGGCGAAGGCAAUCCCCUGGACCUGUACUGACGCUCAUGCACGAAAGCGUGGGGAGCAAACAGGAUUAGAUACCCUGGUAGUCCACGCCCUAAACGAUGUCAACUGGUUGUUGGGUCUUCACUGACUCAGUAACGAAGCUAACGCGUGAAGUUGACCGCCUGGGGAAGUACGGCCGCAAGGUUGAAACUUAAAUGAAUUGACGG